Picea glauca (white spruce) is the source of this 121-nucleotide non-coding RNA. The record is from Rfam. Lineage: Eukaryota; Viridiplantae; Streptophyta; Pinopsida; Pinales; Pinaceae.
ACAUGCUUGCAGCAUAGCAUUAACGCACCAAAUCCCAUUAUAAAUUCAUAGUUAAACGUGCUCAAGCUAGAGUAGUACUAGGAUGGGUGACCUCCUGGGAAGUCCUUGUGUUUUACAUGCC